GAAAGAAAAAUUUUAGGUUGUAUACAACUCUGCAAAGGACCUAACAGUGUAGGUCAGUACAUACUACUUCAACCCUUUGCAGAUGCAAUAAAACUUUUUAUUAAAGAACCACUAUGACCAUUAGCAUCUGUCAUUCCCCAUAUAGUAUUGCUCCAACGUAUUGCACUCUUUGUAUGAAUCCCCCUCCCCAUACCAUACCCCCUAUUUAAUCUUAAUAUAGGUCCCUUAUUUAUACUAGCUACAUCAAGCCUAGCUGUCUAUCUUAGGAUCAGGAUGAGCAUUCAAUUCAAAAUAUGCGCUAUUUGGCGCACUACCAGCAGUAGCCCAAACAACUUCAUAUGUCAUUACCCUAGCUAUUAUCCUCCUGUCAGUUCUUUUGAUAAGUGGCUCAUUUAAUUUACCCACAUUCAUCGUAACACAAGAGUUUAUUUGGCUACUCCUACCAUCAUGACCUCUAGCUAUAAUAUGAUACAUCUCCACCCUAGCAGAGACUAACUAAGCCCCAUUUGACCUAACAGAAGGGGAAUUAGUCUUGGGAUUUAAUGUUGAACAUGCCUCAGGUCCAUUUGCCCUGUUCUUUAUAGCAAAAUAUAUAAAUAUCAUUAUAAUGAAUGCACUAAUCACUAGUAUCUUCCUAGGAGCAGUAUAUGAUAUUCAUAUACCAGAACUCUACACCAUAAAUUUUGUCAGCAAAACCCUCCUUUUAACGACCCUUUUUUUAUGAAUUCCAGCAUCAUACCCUCUAUUUCAUUAUGAUCAGCUCAUAUAUUGUGAAAAAACUUCUCACUACUCACACUAGCACUUUGCAAAUAACGUAUCUCUGUGCCCAUCAUAAUAUCUAGUAUUCCACCUCAAACAUAA
RNAcentral lists this long non-coding RNA (861 nucleotides) under Homo sapiens (human). Its description in RNAcentral is "non-protein coding lnc-GXYLT1-6:1". Lineage: Eukaryota; Metazoa; Chordata; Mammalia; Primates; Hominidae. The record is from RNAcentral.